Molecule: RNA transcript, 2214 nt
Organism: Octodon degus (degu)
Lineage: Eukaryota; Metazoa; Chordata; Mammalia; Rodentia; Octodontidae
Gene name: transcriptional activator Myb pseudogene
Exons: 1
Source: RefSeq, a predicted model, not a curated record
AUGGCCCGAAGACCCUGGCACAGCAUAUACAGCAGUGAAGAGGAUUAUGAAGACAUCGAGAUGUGUGACCAUGGUUACAAUGGGCUCCUUCCCAAGUCUGAAAAGCGACAUUUGGGGAAAAGUAGGUGGACCAGGGAAGAGGAUGAAAAACUAAAAAAGCUGGUGGAACAGAAUGAAACAGAUGACUGGAAAGUUAUUACCAAUUAUCUCCCAAAUCAGACAGACAUGCUGUGCCAGCACCAAUGGCAGAAAGUUCUAAACCCUGAGCUCAUCAAGGGUCCUUGGACCAAAGAAGAUCAGAGAGUGAUAGAAUUUGAACAGAGAUAUGGUGUGAAACGUUGGUCUGUUAUUGUCAAACUCUUAAAAGGGAGAAUGGGAAAACAAUGUAGGAAGAGGUGGCAUAACCAGUUGAAUCCAGAAGUUAAGAAAACCUCCUGGACAGAAGAGGAAGACAGAAUUAUUUACCAGGCACACAAGAGACUGGGGAACAGAUGGGAAGAAAUCACAGAGCUACUGCCUGGACGGACUGACAAUGCUAUCAAGAACCACUGGAAUUCUACAAUGCGUUGAAAGGUGGAACAGGCAGGUUAUCUUCAGGAGUCUUCAAAAGCCAGCCAGUUGACAGUGGCUGCAAGUUUCCAGAAGAACAAUCCUUUGAUGGGUUUUACUCACGCACCACCUUUUCAACUCCCUCCAACUGGCCAGCCCUUGGUUAGCAAUGACUAUUCCUAUUACCACAUUUCUGAGGCACAGAAUGUCUCCAGCCAUGUUCCAUAUCCUGUAGCUUUACAUGUAAAUAUAGUCAAUAUUCCUCAGCCCGCUGUGGCAGCCAUUCAGAGACACUGUUAUUUGAAGGCCCUGAAAAGGAAAAGUGAAUAAAAGAAUUAGAAUUGCUCCUAAUGUCCACUGAGAAUGAGCUAAAAGGUCAGCAGGCAGUAGCAAUACAGAACCACACAUGCACCUACCCCGGGUGACACAGCACCUCUAUUGCCAACCACAGCAGACCUCAUGGAGAUGGUGAGCCUCUUUCCUGUUUGGGAGAACACCAUUCCACUCCUCUGCUGGUGGAUCCCAGCUCCCGACCUGAAGAAUGUGUCUCACCAGCAAGGUGCAUGAUCAUCCACCAGGGCACCAUUCUGGAUAAUGUUAAGAACCUCCUAGAAUUUGCAGAAACAUUCCAGUUUAUAGAUUCUGAUACUUCAUCAUGGUGUGAUUUCAGCAAUUUUGAAUUCUCUGACAAAGCAGCUUUUGCACCUAGCCAGCAUCACUCAGGAGUGAAUAAACACUUGUUGGGUGAGGGUUCACUUGACUCACCCAAGGUCUUGUCUCCUUCAAGGCCCAGUGCAAUUCCACUGGUCAUUCUUCAAAACAAACAGGGCCAGGCCAGUCCCUUAGCUAUUGGGAGGCUCCAGCUGCUUCUUCUUUGCUGAAGCCAGCAGCGCAGCUCCCAAGCCUUCCUCUGUCAAAAGCCUGCCCUUCUCUUCCUUGCAGUUCAGAAACACCUCUAGUAACCAUGAAAACUUAGACUUGGAUUGUGUAUUCCUUAACUUCUCCCCCUCUCAAUGGUCACAAACUGACUAUUACAACACCAUUCCAUAGGGAGCAAAUUGUGAAAAUCCAAAAGGAAAACACCAUUUUUAGAACUCCAACUAUCAAAAGAUCAAUCCUAGAAAACUCUCCUAGAACUCCUCCUCCACUUAAACAUGCACUUGUGGCUCAAGAAAUUAAAUGUGGUCCCCUGAAGAUGCUACCUCAGACACCCACUCACCUAGUAGAAGACCUACAGGAUGUGAUCAAACAAGAAUCUGAUGAAUCUGGCAUUGUUGCUGAAUUUCAAGAAAACAGACCCACCCCCCUUACUGAAGAAAAUCAAACAAGAAGGGGAAUCUACAACUGAUAAGGUGGGAAAAAUUUUCUGCUCAAGCCACUGGGAAGGGGAGAAUCUGAAGACUCAACUGUUCAUACAGGCGUCACAGAUGGUGAGCUCCCCAAAUAUUGUUAUGAGUUCUGUUUUAAUGAUGCCAGUAUCAAAAGAUGAAGACAGUGUUCUGAAAGCAUUUACAGUACCUAAACACAGGUUUCUGGUGAACCCUUUUCAGCCUUGAAGUGGUGCCUGGGAACCCAUCCUGUGGGAAGACAGAUGACCAGAUGACAGUUUCUUCUCAGAUUCAUAAAUAUAUGAAUGCAUUCUCUGCCUGGACUCUGGUCAUGUGA